RNAcentral lists this long non-coding RNA (2562 nucleotides) under Homo sapiens (human). Its description in RNAcentral is "non-protein coding lnc-CNTN6-7:2". The record is from RNAcentral. Lineage: Eukaryota; Metazoa; Chordata; Mammalia; Primates; Hominidae.
GAAAAUGCCGCCAGCCUGGAGCGGGGAAUCCAUGGACCGUGGGGUUGUGGGGUUGGGGAGCACGAAAACCCAGAGAGGGGCUAGAGCUCCACCUCCCCAGACCGCCGAGGGGCGAGAGGGCGCGCCGGGGGCCGUGGUUGCCAUGGCUCCUGGUAGCGGAGCCCGGGGGGCUGGAGAUGCCGGUCGCGGAUGGUCCCUUCUUCCUCUUUGUGCCUCUCUCUUUCUCUCGCUUUUUUUUUUUUUUUGGAGUGUGAGUGUGCGUGGGGAGGCAGCACGGAGAAAGUGAUUAAUUUGGGGAGCAGGGAUUGGAGCCGGGAGGCUGGGGAAAGCCAGCCCCUCCGUUCCCACUCUCCGGGCUCGCUGCGAGCCACAGUGUCUCAGCCAGGGGCAGGGCCGGGGAACUCCUGCGAAAAACCACGGGCCGGAGGAGCAGCAGCCGCGCGGGCCCAGGUGCUGUAAACUGCAAACCAUAAUCCUGUCUUAAUACUGCAAACAAAUCAUAGUGGAACUAAGGGGAACUUAAUUUACUGAAUCUCUUGUUUGGAAAUUUCCUCCCAGAAUACCCAACCUCUCAAGAAUUUUAAAACGAUGGAGUAAAAUAAUCUUCAAGCUCUGAUUAGAUUACAACAUAUGAAUGCUAAUUUUGUUUUUACAGGUUUCAACACCCAAAUUUAUCUGAACUUAGGGCACAAUAAGCAGUUUAACUGUUAGAAAUCUUAUGAGAUUGAGUUUGUGCCUAUCAGAUGAAUACAUAUUUGUAUAUAACAUUUCAAUUAUUGCUACAUUUAUGUAUAAUUUAUCCAAAAGCGAUGUUAUCCAUGCAUCUUAACAGAAGGCUUAAGUAGUUGAAUGACAGGGACUACAUUUUUGCUGCAGAAGAUCAUGAUAAAACAUGUGCUGUGUGGUCACCUUGGGUAAUGUGCCGAGACUGCUUGAUGGUACUUAUCUCUACACACUGCAUCUCAUACUGAUUUAUGGAUUUGGAUGACUUAUUUUAUGUCAAAGACAUAAAGAGAGUAGAGAAGAGAGAAUAGUAUUUUCAUUUCAGUCUUAAAAAAGUUCUAUCCUAUGAGAUGUUAACAGCUGCCUUCUCUUGGUGGUCUGUGAAGUUUUUAUAAAGAUAUUGAUUAUUUUCCAAUGACACACAAAUCUACUGCUAGAGACCAUUCAAAUGCUUAGUUACACCAGGGCUUGGCUCCUGUACCCUGAGGAGGACACGAUUAACCAAAUCCUCCUUUUUAAAUGUUCUCAGGACAAUGAGCUGCACAUACGGCACAAAUGCAAUUUGCUUGACCAAUCUUGCCUCUGUCUCCUUCUAUCUCCGUUUACAUGCUUCAUGCUCAGUUGAAAUUAAUUCUCUACACAUUGGUCUCAUGAACACAUCUUUGAGAGCAGAGUUCAAGUUAAAUUUUUAUUUUCAUCAUUACCUCUGAGAACACAAUCUGGGGCAUAUUAGACGCUUUGUAAGUGUAGAGGUGGGGAGAAAGAAGAAGAAAGAGAGGAACAGAAGGAGGGAAAGAUUUUCCUGAUAGAUCACUUUCUGGACACUUUCUGUGCUGAGAAGUUCUGAGAUUGCCUCUCUGGAUCCUGCUAUCUUGGCAGUCUUGCUAAGAGUUUCCAUUUACACUUAAACAUGGUUACUGAUGCGUCUUAAUGUUGCCUUAACUAUCAGGUUUCUGAUAGCCCCACAUAGCCAAGUGGGACCCUGGUCAAGAAGUUCACCUCUGUUAAAUAAAUAUGCAUAGAUUUUCAACAUCUCUUCACAUGCAUUCAGAGGUGAUGAAAGAUUCCACUGGAUGCUAGAACAUUGUGCAUAAAUAAUCGAAGUUGUAUGCUCUUCAGCAAUGAUGCUACCCCAUAUCCUUUUUUUUUCUUUCCCAUGAUAUGAGGAUAUGAGUGCAGCAGAACUAGCUCCAUGCCCUUGUCCCAGAAUUAAUCAUUCCUAUCCAUAUUUGAUGUCUUUACCUUUUAAAUAUUUAUGGGCUGUUAUGUUCCUUUCUUGUUGUUCACCCACUCUGGGGACAUUCAGAAGCCUCACAUUUCUUCCUUAGCCAAACACCCCAUUCCCUUCAUCCUCUCUCAGCUGUUCUUUGGAUUACCUCCAAAUUGCAUACAUAAUUUUGGUAUUGAGGUGCCAAAAAUGCAUUUGUUUCAACUGGAGUUUUAUUGAAGUUGCUUUUACUCAAAUCAAGUACACAAAUAAAUUUGAUUUCCAAGGCAUGAAAAUUCAGUUAGGUCUCCGAAGGGAAGCUGAGGUAUACUUAUAUUUCAUUAUAAUGCUACAGGUAGAUUUUAAGUCACUAGGAAAAUGACAUCUCAAAAUCAAAAGAUUAUAGAAUGAGCACUAUAUGAAGAAUUACAUUUUAAAGCAUAGGUCUGUGAUCAUUUUGUAGGUUUUUGUUGUUACUGUCAGUCUAUUGGUUUUUAUUAAUAAUUUUAUUGAGGUAUAACUGAUACACAAACGACAUAUUUAAUGUGUACAAUUUGAUGAGUUUGGACAUAUCCGAGGACUCAUGAGACUGUCACUGCAAUCAAGGUAAUAAAUGUAUUUAUUACUUCCAA